UGGGGAAUUUUGGACAAUGGGCGCAAGCCUGAUCCAGCCAUUCCGCGUGAGUGAAGAAGGCCUUCGGGUUGUAAAGCUCUUUCGCAAGGGAAGAAAACUUAGAUACUAAUAUUAUCUGAGGUUGACGGUACCUUGAUAAGAAGCACCGGCUAACUACGUGCCAGCAGCCGCGGUAAUACGUAGGGUGCGAGCGUUAAUCGGAAUUACUGGGCGUAAAGCGUGCGCAGGCUGUUUUGUAAGUCAGAUGUGAAAUCCCCGAGCUCAACUUGGGAACUGCGUUUGAAACUACAAGACUAGAAUAUGUCAGAGGGGGGUAGAAUUCCACGUGUAGCAGUGAAAUGCGUAGAGAUGUGGAGGAAUACCAAUGGCGAAGGCAGCCCCCUGGGAUAAUAUUGACGCUCAUGCACGAAAGCGUGGGGAGCAAACAGGAUUAGAUACCCUGGUAGUCCACGCCCUAAACGAUGUCUACUAGUUGUUGGUGGAGUAAAAUCCAUGAGUAACGCAGCUAACGCGUGAAGUAGACCGCCUGGGGAGUACGGUCGCAAGAUUAA
RNAcentral lists this ribosomal RNA (551 nucleotides) under uncultured Methylophilus sp. RNAcentral's name for it is "bacterial SSU rRNA". It matches the Rfam family "Bacterial small subunit ribosomal RNA", at positions 355 to 897 of the family's 1533-position model. Lineage: Bacteria; Pseudomonadati; Pseudomonadota; Betaproteobacteria; Nitrosomonadales; Methylophilaceae. The record is from RNAcentral.